AUUAUGACAUGCAUCUUAACAUUUAUAUAAAUAUAUAUCAUAACCUAAAUAUAAAUAAUUUAAAAACUUAAAUUAGAAAAAAAUAAAAAAUCCCGGGCGUAGCCCGGGUUAAUCCCUAGUCUUUAUAAAUAAAGUAGAGUUUGGUCCCUCCACAGACAUCCACGUCGACAAAGAGGGAUGGACGUUUUUUGACACGUGUAGCUUCCUAAUUCUUCAACAAACAAUUUCCGUGAACAAAAGCUAUUUGGCAUGUGGGCUUAUCGAUACUUCUUGUCCUUUUGUUCAGGCCCACUGUAAUGUCCGUUUCACCACCUUACGAAGAUCAACCUAGAGAACAACCCCGUCCGAUGAAUUUCCUGUAUCCGAGCAUUUUCCUUUCGAUAUCUAGGGUUCAUAUUCAUCGUCUUUUUCGAUCUCUAACAUCCUCUUCUUUAUCUUCUUCACUUCAUCAGUUUACGCUUGAUUCGUCACCGUACGUCCAUCUACUACCGAUCUCAUCUCCGAUGGAAUUGACUGUGGAAGUCUCGGCUCUGGAUCUGUUAUCAAGACGGUGGUCUCGGAUGAAGAGAAAGAGGAAGCUUGGUAACGUGUUUUUAAUUUGGUUUAUGGAUUUCUCAUGUUCACGGCAGCUAUGUAUCUAUCUGCCGAAAGUGAGAUCCUGCCCUUGAAUCGUCGGUGGUUUGUUUUUUUCCAUGCUCGGAGCACAGCCUGAAGCUAUACUUAUUAUGGGUAGGUGAAAAUGUAGAUUCUUUAUUGAACUUUGAGUUAUAAAAAGUGAAUCGUUGUUUGGUUCUGCGAAUCAAAUAGUGAGUAGCGAAGAUACUUUGAUGUGUAACUUUAUAUGUGAGAGAUUGAAAGUGAAUCUUUGUUUAGUCAAUGAGUCAAUUUUUUCUCUGUCAAUAUAACUUUUUCCUGUAAAGUUUGAGAUUUGCUCUUUUGGGUUUUGAAUCUUUUGGUGUUUGUUUAAAUGUCUGGACUUUCUGGAGAUGUAGCAACUGCGCAAAGCCAAGCCUCUGUGGGAAUGGGUUUACUCGCUGGGCUCAACCUUUAUGGUUCUCACUGUUAUUUAGGGAACUUGCACAGUUUUUAGCAAGUGUGACAUUCGUUAUGCUAUUGUUGUAAACAACCAAGACACUAAAAGGCUUCCAUAUAAGUAAGAUUCUGGUGUUAGUGUUGAUAUUUGGACCAGCUAUGCUGUGAGAAUAAUGGCUAUAUCGGUUUUCCCGUUUGUCAUUGUCUAGCUUCCUUUAGUGUUGAACUCAACUUCUGGAAGACACUUGGCCCUGUUGGUUGCUUUAAUCGCUCAGCUCUAAUGUAAAGCUCGCGGAUCCACACUUAUAAAUAAGCGACUUCUAUUCUGUGCAGUUCAUCACUUUCUUCUUCUACAUCAUUGUAAUCUUCACAAACCCAUCAAUCCGGAAUGACGAACUCUUCUAAUCUGCUCGCCGACUUGAAGGCAGGACAUUGUAGCACAACCGUCGAAGUCCGGUUGCUGAGAAUUUGGGAAGCCCAUAAUUGAAAAAGGAGGCAAAGUUCAAGCUCAUAUUUCAUCUACGCUGUUGUUGUUACGCGAAGCAAUAACAAUUUCAAGCUCUCUACUUCUCCUCUUUCGAUAUGAUCCAAUGAUCAGAUCGCGUUUGCUGAGAGCUAACCGAUCUGGAUAAUCCAAUACCAACGGACGUGCUCAGAUUCCGCAAUCAUAAUCAUUUAAUACGUUUGACAAAAAAAAAUCAUUUAAUACGAUUAUUAAAUUAUAACUAAUGUCAGGAUGAGCUUACUUUGCUUUUUCGUGUAUUGUAUUUGUACCUAUGAGAUUCUUUUUUUGUCAAAUAUGUAUCUUUAAUCUUU
Brassica napus (rape) is the source of this 1848-nucleotide long non-coding RNA. RefSeq lists it as uncharacterized. The record is from RefSeq and is a predicted model, not a curated record. The transcript has 2 exons. NCBI's taxonomy places the organism in Eukaryota, Viridiplantae, Streptophyta, Magnoliopsida, Brassicales, Brassicaceae.